RNAcentral lists this ribosomal RNA (1381 nucleotides) under Yunzhangia sp. RNAcentral's name for it is "partial large subunit ribosomal RNA". The stretch from base 489 to 1381 matches the Rfam family "Eukaryotic large subunit ribosomal RNA", at positions 1 to 926 of the family's 3401-position model. The record is from RNAcentral. Lineage: Eukaryota; Fungi; Basidiomycota; Microbotryomycetes; Chrysozymaceae.
GUGACCUGCGGAAGGAUCAUUAAUGAAUAUUAGAAGUAUCUUUACAGAUCUUCAACCCUCAUUACCUUCACUCUGUGCAUUAUUAUUACAAGGUUGGACUUCAUUGUCUACCUUUCAUUUAAACACUAGUAAAAGUAUGUAAAUUUAUAAAAUAAAAUAAAACUUUCAACAACGGAUCUCUUGGCUCUCGCAUCGAUGAAGAACGCAGCGAAAUGUGAUAAGUAAUGUGAAUUGCAGAAUUCAGUGAAUCAUCGAAUCUUUGAACGCACCUUGCACUCCUUGGUAUUCCGAGGAGUAUGUCUGUUUGAGUGUCAUGAACUCUUCAAUCUAUCUCUUUGUUGAAAUAGAAUUGGUUUUUGAAGGUUGUAUUUUAUACUCCUUUGUAAUGUAUUAGCAAAUCUAGUCAAUCUCGGAUUGACUCAGUGUAAUAGACUAUUCGCUGAGGACGAGUGACAGUAUUUGCUUCGAAUUGUAGUUAAUUUUGAAUUAGACCUCAAAUCAGAUAGGAUUACCCGCUGAACUUAAGCAUAUCAAUAAGCGGAGGAAAAGAAACUAACCAGGAUUCCCCUAGUAACGGCGAGUGAAGCGGGAAGAGCUCAAAUUUGUAAUCUGACAGCAAUGUCCGAGUUGUAAUCUCGAGAAGUGUUUUCCGUGUUGGACCGCAUACAAGUCUGUUGGAAUACAGCGUGCUAUAGGUGAGAACCCUGUCUACGAUGCGGACUCCCAAUACUUUGUGAUACACUUUCGAAGAGUCGAGUUGUUUGGGAAUGCAGCUCAAAUUGGGUGGUAAAUUCCAUCUAAAGCUAAAUAUUGGCGAGAGACCGAUAGCGAACAAGUACCGUGAGGGAAAGAUGAAAAGCACUUUGGAAAGAGAGUUAACAGUACGUGAAAUUGUUGGAAGGGAAACGCUUAAACUCAGACUUGCUGUCUCACGACUUGCAGGCCAGCAUCAGUUUUGAGGGGUGCAAAAUCAACAGGGGAAGGUAGCAGUCUCGGCUGUGUUAUAGCCCUUGUUAGGAUUCACCUUUUGGGACUGAGGAACGCUGUGUAUCUUAUUCGAUUCGUUGAAAUAACACAUGGGAUGCUGGUGGAAUGGGUUUAAACGACCCGUCUUGAAACACGGACCAAGGAGUCUAACAUGUUUGCGAGUAUUUGGGUGUUAAACCCUGAUGCGUAAUGAAAGUGAAUGCAGGUGGGAACCCUUUGGGUGCACCAUCGACCGAUCUGGAUUUUCUAAGAUGGAUUUGAGUAAGAGCAAGUAUGUUGGGACCCGAAAGAUGGUGAACUAUGCCUGAAUAGGGCGAAGCCAGAGGAAACUCUGGUGGAGGCUCGUAGCGGUUCUGACGUGCAAAUCGAUCGUCAAAUUUGGGUAUAGGGGCGA